This 405-nucleotide long non-coding RNA is filed under the name Felis catus (domestic cat). RNAcentral's name for it is "lncRNA (ENSFCAG00000044173.2)". Lineage: Eukaryota; Metazoa; Chordata; Mammalia; Carnivora; Felidae. The record is from RNAcentral.
AUGCUGCGUGGAGACUCCCACAUGAUGGAUGAAGAAGCCCAGAUGGAGAGAGUGUUCCAGUUGGGCCCAGGCCUGGCUGACUUGCCCUCCGGAAGCAUCUGCAUCAGUGACCUCAGGCAAGACCAAUGGGAGAGCCAACCAGCUAAUCCACAGAAUUCUCCAUUAAAGAGAAGGGAAAAGAAGGUGUGGCUCUACAAAGAGAAAGAAAGAAGAGGCAAUGGCAGUUUUCUGAAGCCAGAAAUCAGAGAGAAAAGUGUUGCCCAGAUGGAGGGAUUCAAGGCAAGUAACGGGUGCCGGUCCCUUUGGAACCAACCCUAUGAAGUUCAAGAAAUCGUUUUCAACCCUCUAAAUUGUCUGGGUCUCUUCCUUGCCUGAAUUCUUUUAAUAAAUGUAGCAGACGUCACA